UGAGUCCUAAACCCUGCAUUUUGUCAAUCUUCAGACUGGGAUCAACCGGAGAUUUCUGUUCAGGACCAAAUCUUGUAAACAAAACCAAGUGACUAAGAUCUCUUCAGUCAUUGGCUAGCACUCACGGGGUUUUGUACGUGUGGAUGAAGGCCAGGUUGAACACUUUUUACUGUAACUUUAGCACACCAGAGGCAUGCUGCAAGAUGGGUACUGAGGACUCUAUGGCUACGAGGUGAGUUGGAGUCAUUGCCCUCAAACUGACAUCCGUUCAAAAGCCAACAACAACAAGCCGGGUGCUGCUUUACUAACUGCUCUAACAACAGUUCAAGCAGAAAUGGAGACUCAUCAGACCAGACAACUUUUUUCCAAUCUUCUGUUGUCCAGUUUUGGUGUGUGCAACUUACAUUAUCAUUACCACAAGCACGGCAAUGGCAUGUUCCAUUUUCAAGAUGUCCCUUCAGGGAGCCACACAAGCCUCAAGGGAACUUCAAGACUCACCUGCUCGGUUGUCCUGGCCUGUAGAUGGUCUCCUGGACAACCUAAAAAUCCAAAACCCCCUACAUGUCAUAUAUACAUGCCUAAGCAUUAGAAUAUUACUGGUUUAAGUCUUUAUCAUUUCCAAAUAAUGACUUAUUACAGGGCUUCUUUUUUUUCCAGCUAAUGGAGCCUGUAUGGAUGUGUUUUAUGUGUUGAAAACGUGAAUUCCAUGUUCCAUGAUAGGGCAGCUGUACUCAAUCCCGGCAAUAGUCAAUAUGAAGUUGACCACUUAAUGACAUUUAAAGGAAGAAAUCGCAUCUUAAUGUGCAUGCAUGAGCAGGGAUGUGUGUAGAUUUGUGCUACACCCCCAGCUCAGAUCACAGCAGCAUGAGAGCAUCUGUGUCAACAAGCAAAAGAGCCUAAAGUGUGAUCCUGUGUGUCGGGUCCCAAGAGAAGCUCCACAGUCCUCACCCCUUUGGAACUACCAACAUCCACAGAUCAUGAUCACCUUUUGUACUCUGCAGUCAUGUGGAAACAGAUGGUAGAAACAUGCUCACAGUUUGAACAAAUCUAAAGAAACUGGCGUUUCUGUCCAUGAUCCUGAUUCUUGCACCUGCUUCCACAGGGUGAUAGCUCAACUCAAGUUCUGAAAUACUGCUUCACAAGUCCUGAUCUUUUGACACUAAUAAAUAUUAAAACAUUUA
Molecule: long non-coding RNA, 1181 nt
Organism: Oryzias melastigma (Indian medaka)
Lineage: Eukaryota; Metazoa; Chordata; Actinopteri; Beloniformes; Adrianichthyidae
Exons: 5
Source: RefSeq, a predicted model, not a curated record